RNAcentral lists this ribosomal RNA (314 nucleotides) under Klebsiella pneumoniae. RNAcentral describes it as "bacterial SSU rRNA". It matches the Rfam family "Bacterial small subunit ribosomal RNA", at positions 1034 to 1348 of the family's 1533-position model. The record is from RNAcentral. Lineage: Bacteria; Pseudomonadati; Pseudomonadota; Gammaproteobacteria; Enterobacterales; Enterobacteriaceae.
ACAGGUGCUGCAUGGCUGUCGUCAGCUCGUGUUGUGAAAUGUUGGGUUAAGUCCCGCAACGAGCGCAACCCUUAUCCUUUGUUGCCAGCGGUUAGGCCGGGAACUCAAAGGAGACUGCCAGUGAUAAACUGGAGGAAGGUGGGGAUGACGUCAAGUCAUCAUGGCCCUUACGACCAGGGCUACACACGUGCUACAAUGGCAUAUACAAAGAGAAGCGACCUCGCGAGAGCAAGCGGACCUCAUAAAGUAUGUCGUAGUCCGGAUUGGAGUCUGCAACUCGACUCCAUGAAGUCGGAAUCGCUAGUAAUCGUAGA